GAUUUCUGAUGAACCGGAGUGGCCCGUUCUCUUUCUGGGAAUGAGUGCCGCUUUGAGUUUGUCAUCCUUCCAGAAAGCUGCGUCUACCGUUUACUCGGCCGGAUGUAUGCGAUCUGGAUCUAUUACUUUGAAAAAAUUAGAGUGUUUAAAGCAGGCUUGCGCUAUGAAUACAUUAGCAUGGAAUAAUAAUUUAGGACUUUGGUCUUAUUUUGUUGGUUUCUAGGACUAAAGUAAUGAUUGAUAGGGACAGUUGGGGGUGCUAGUAUUCAGCGGCCAGAGGUGAAAUUCUUGGAUUCGCUGAAGACUAACUUAUGCGAAAGCAUU
RNAcentral lists this ribosomal RNA (324 nucleotides) under uncultured Euglypha. RNAcentral's name for it is "SSU rRNA". The stretch from base 109 to 324 matches the Rfam family "Eukaryotic small subunit ribosomal RNA", at positions 738 to 955 of the family's 1831-position model. Lineage: Eukaryota; Cercozoa; Imbricatea; Euglyphida; Euglyphidae. The record is from RNAcentral.